Molecule: ribosomal RNA, 460 nt
Filed under: uncultured bacterium
Lineage: Bacteria
Description: partial 16S ribosomal RNA
Rfam family: Bacterial small subunit ribosomal RNA
Source: RNAcentral
UCUACGGGUGGCAGCAGUGAGGAAUAUUGGUCAAUGGGCGCAAGCCUGAACCAGCCAAGUCGCGUGAAGGAUGAAGGCCCUACGGUUUUUCAACUUUUUUUAUAAAGGAAUAAAGUGAGGCACUUGCGCAUUUUGGUAUGUACUUUAUGAAUAAGGAUCGUCUCACUCCGUUCCAGCAGCCGCGGUAAUACGGAGGAGUCGAGCGUUAUCCGGAAUGGUUGGGUUGAAUGGGAGUGUAGGUGGGUUGGUAAGUCAGUUGUGAAAGUUUGCGGCUCAAACGGAAAAGUGCAAUUGAUACUAUCAGGCUUGAGUACAGUUGAGGUAGGCGGAAUGCGUGGUGUAGCGGUGAAAUGCUGAGAUAUCACGAAGAACUCCGAUUGCGAAGGCAGCUUACUAAACUGCAACUGACAUUGAGGCUCGAAAGUGUGGGUAUCAAACAGGAUUAGAUACCCCUGUAGUC